GGGAGUGAGCGAGGAGUGAGCCGGGAGUGAGCCAGGAGUGAGCAAGGAGUGAGCAAGGAGUGAGUCAGGAGUGAGCGAGUGAGCGACUGGCUGGCUGGUUGGCAGUGAAUAACACCCUCCCCUACCUCAAAAGCAGUCUAUCUUAAUAUGUGUACAAUCCCCAACAAUGAUUCACUCCUCGCAGGAGUGUAAGAGGAGCACAGAAAGUAGCCAUAACGUGCAUGAUGCUAUCAAUCGGUAGCAGCUGAUAAUCAUAUCUUUAAUGUUUGAAAUAUGUUUAUGAGAUAUGUUAAUCAGAAUUAUAUGUUUUGCGUAAAACUUCGAAAAUGUAUUUAAAAAUAUAUAUAAAAGCACAAUUAUGUCGCACUUUAUGAGUAAAAUGUUAUUAUACAAAGUAAUACCAAUUUAUUUCGAAAAAAAUGCAUAUAUUAUAAUAAAAGAAGUAAUUAGCUAAA
RNAcentral lists this unclassified non-coding RNA (455 nucleotides) under Monomorium pharaonis (pharaoh ant). RNAcentral's name for it is "uncharacterized LOC114255342, transcript variant X1". Lineage: Eukaryota; Metazoa; Arthropoda; Insecta; Hymenoptera; Formicidae. The record is from RNAcentral.